CGGGGGGGCAAGCGUUGUUCGGAAUUACUGGGCGUAAAGGGCGCGUAGGCGGUUUGCUAAGUCGGAUGUGAAAACUCUGGGCUCAACCCAGAGCCUGCAUCCGAAACUGGCAGGCUAGAGUUCUGGAGGGGGUAGCGGAAUUCCUGGUGUAGCGGUGAAAUGCGUAGAUAUCAGGAGGAACACCGGUGGCGAAGGCGGCUACCUGGACAGAAACUGACGCUGAGGCGCGAAAGCUAGGGGAGCAAACAGGAUUAGAUACCCUGGUAGUCCUAGCCCUAAACGAUGGAUACUUGGUGUGACUGGGAUUGAAUCCAGUCGUGCCGAAGCUAACGCAUUAAGAUCCCGCUGGGGAUACGGUCGCAAGGCUG
Molecule: ribosomal RNA, 368 nt
Filed under: uncultured organism
Description: bacterial SSU rRNA
Rfam family: Bacterial small subunit ribosomal RNA
Source: RNAcentral